This 574-nucleotide ribosomal RNA is filed under the name uncultured bacterium. Its description in RNAcentral is "bacterial SSU rRNA". It matches the Rfam family "Bacterial small subunit ribosomal RNA", at positions 772 to 1341 of the family's 1533-position model. The record is from RNAcentral.
ACCGAAUAGAUACCCCCGGGUAGUCCCACGCCCUAAACUAUGUCAACUAGUUGUUGGGAGAGUUAAAUCUCUUAGUAAACGCAGCUAAACGCGUGAAGUUGACCGCCUGGGGAGUACGGCCGCAAGGUUAAAACUCAAAGGAAUUGACGGGGACCCGCACAAGCGGUGGAUUAUGUGGAUUAAUUCGAUGCAACGCGAAAAACCUUACCUACCCUUGACAUGUACGGAACGGGGCAGAGACGUCCCGGUGCCCGAAAGGGAACCGUAACACAGGUGCUGCAUGGCUGUCGUCAGCUCGUGUCGUGAGAUGUUGGGUUAAGUCCCGCAACGAGCGCAACCCUUACCAUUAGUUGCUACAUUCAGUUGGGCACUCUAAUGGGACUGCCGGUGACAAACCGGAGGAAGGUGGGGAUGACGUCAAGUCCUCAUGGCCCUUAUGGGUAGGGCUUCACACGUAAUACAAUGGCCGGUACAGAGGGUUGCCAACCCGCGAGGGGGAGCCAAUCCCAGAAAGCCGGUCGUAGUCCGGAUUGUUCUCUGCAACUCGAGAGCAUGAAGUCGGAAUCGCUAGUAA